GACGAACGCUGGCGGCGUGCUUAACACAUGCAAGUCGAACGGAAAGGCCCUGCUUUUGUGGGGUGCUCGAGUGGCGAACGGGUGAGUAACACGUGAGUAACCUGCCCUUGACUUUGGGAUAACUUCAGGAAACUGGGGCUAAUACCGGAUAGGAGCUCCUGCUGCAUGGUGGGGGUUGGAAAGUUUCGGCGUUUGGGGAUGGACUCGCGGCUUAUCAGCUUGUUGGUGGGGUAGUGGCUUACCAAGGCUUUGACGGGUAGCCGGCCUGAGAGGGUGACCGGCCACAUGGGGACUGAGAGACGGCCCAGACUCCUACGGGAGGCAGCAGUGGGGAAUAUUGCACAAUGGGCGGAAGCCUGAUGCAGCAACGCCGCGUGCGGGAUGACGGCCUUCGGGUUGUAAACCGCUUUCGCCUGUGACGAAGCGUGAGUGACGGUAAUGGGUAAAGAAGCACCGGCUAACUACGUG
Molecule: ribosomal RNA, 468 nt
Filed under: uncultured bacterium
Lineage: Bacteria
Description: partial 16S ribosomal RNA
Rfam family: Bacterial small subunit ribosomal RNA
Source: RNAcentral